RNAcentral lists this ribosomal RNA (1968 nucleotides) under freshwater metagenome. Its description in RNAcentral is "bacterial LSU rRNA". The stretch from base 829 to 1968 matches the Rfam family "Bacterial large subunit ribosomal RNA", at positions 1 to 2273 of the family's 2925-position model. The record is from RNAcentral.
UUGAUAGUUGAUGAAAAGAUUUCAGCUGCGGAGGUAACUGCGGCGCUUCGCGAUGGUGCAGGGGAUUUACUUGAAUCAAUCGAACUCUUCGAUCGUUACGACAAGAUUGGCGACGGAAAGAUUUCACUUGCCUUUACAUUAACUUUCCGUGCGCCAGACCGUACCCUUAAGACAGAGGAAGUAUCGGCUUCACGAGAGGCAGCUGCCGCAGAGGCGUUAAAGCGUUGCGGCGCCACCGUGCGUGCAUAAAUAUGCAAUAUAUUGCAUAAAUACUAAUAUUUAGUUAAUCUAGAGCCAUGAAAAUUGGCGUAGUUGGUGCGAGCGGAUAUGCCGGAGGGGAACUGUUAAGACUCCUGGCGGGCCAUCCAGAAUUUGAAGCUGCGGUAAUAACUGCAGGUAGCAAUGUGAGUUUGAGCAAUGUGACGGUUGUAGAUCCGUUGACGGGCUUGAACCAGACUGUGGGCACGUUGGCACCUGGAGCUAGCCAGUCGGUAACUACGACAUACGCUGUAAUCCAGUCUGAUGUAGACAGCGGCCAGAUUACGAAUGUGGCUUCCGUGAGUGGCCAGGGACCUGAUCAGACGACAGUGUCGGCGCAUGAUGAUGCGGUUGUUACGGCGAUACAGAAUCCAUCGAUCGAUGUUGAGAUUACCGAUAAUGAAGCGGAUAUCGAUGAGGAAGGAGAGGAGAUUGACUAUACGAUCACGGUAACGAAUACGGGCAAUGUGACCCUGACCAACGUGACGGUUGUAGACAGCAAAACCGGUACGGUGGUAAAUGUGGGUACGUUGGCACCAGGAGAGAGCAAGCAGGUGGAGACGGUGUAUACGGUAACCCAGGAAGAUGUAGAUAAAGGCAGUGUGAGCAAUGAGGCUACUGCGACGGGAGAGAGUCCGAAUGAAGGGGAUGACAAUCCUACGGAUAUCGAUGAGGUGACUACACCGAUUGCGCAGCUGCCAUCGAUUGUGAUCGAGAAGAAGUCAGACAAGACGGAGGGUUAGUCGGGACCUAAGGCGAGGCCGAGAGGCGUAGUCGAUGGAUACAGGGUGAAUAUUCCCUGACUACUAGGCUGGAGCUGAACAGGGACGCAUGAAAAAUAGCUAUGCCCUAAUUGGAUUGGGAGGAGUCUACGGACUCUGCGUAGUGAAAGAUAGUGCCAAGAAAAGCUGUUUCAGUGUUGAAAGCCAGUACCCGUACCCGAAACCGACACAGGUAGGGAGGUUGAGAAUACCAAGGGGCGCGAGGUAACUCUCUCUAAGGAACUCGGCAAAAUGGCCCCGUAACUUCGGGAGAAGGGGUGCCACCGAGAGGUGGUCGCAGUGAAGAGGUCCAGGCGACUGUUUACCAAAAACACAGGUCUCUGCAAAGUCGUAAGACGACGUAUAGGGGCUGACGCCUGCCCAGUGCCGGAAGGUUAAGGAAGCUGGUCAGCGAAAGUGAAGCUGGCGACCGAAGCCCCGGUGAACGGCGGCCGUAACUAUAACGGUCCUAAGGUAGCGAAAUUCCUUGUCGGGUAAGUUCCGACCCGCACGAAAGGCGUAACGAUCUGGACGCUGUCUCAGAGAGAGGCUCGGCGAAAUAGGAUUGUCUGUGAAGAUACGGACUACCUGCACCCGGACAGAAAGACCCUAUGAAGCUUUACUGUAGCUUGGGAUUGGGUUCGGGCUUUGUCUGCGCAGAAUAGGUGGGAGGCUAAGAGACUAUCCUUGUGGGGAUAGAGGAGCCAACGGUGAGAUACCACUCUGACAAGGCUAGAAUUCUAACUUCGACCCCUCCUCCAGACUCAGCGAAGUUGAAAUGUUUGUGAUGAUGCAAUCUCCCCGCGGAAAGACGGAAAGACCCCACGAACCUUUACUGUAGCUUUGUAUUGGACUUUGAACAGAUCUGUGUAGGAUAGGUGGGAGGCUUUGAAGUGCGGUCGCUAGAUCGCAUGGAGCCGACGUUGAAAUACCACCCUGGUGUGUUUGA